RNAcentral lists this ribosomal RNA (559 nucleotides) under Peribacillus simplex. RNAcentral's name for it is "bacterial SSU rRNA". It matches the Rfam family "Bacterial small subunit ribosomal RNA", at positions 188 to 733 of the family's 1533-position model. The record is from RNAcentral. Lineage: Bacteria; Bacillati; Bacillota; Bacilli; Caryophanales; Bacillaceae.
GCAUGAAAAAAGAUGGAAAGACGGUUUACGCUGUCACUUAUAGAUGGGCCCGCGGCGCAUUAGCUAGUUGGUGAGGGAAUGGCUCACCAAGGCAACCAUGCGUAACCGACCUGAGAGGGUGAUCGGCCACACUGGGACUGACACACGGCCCACACUCCUACGGGAGGCAGCAGUAGGGAAUCUUCCGCAAUGGACGAAAGUCUGACGGACCACCGCCGCGUGAACAAAGAAGGCCUUCCGGUCGUAAAGUUCUGUUGUUAGGAAAGAACAAGUACCAAAGUAACUGCUGGUACCUUGACGGUACCUAACCAGAAAGCCACGGCUAACUACGUGCCACCAGCCGCGGUAAUACGUAGGUGGCAAGCGUUGUCCGGAAUUAUUGGGCGUAAAGCGCGCGCAGGUGGUUCCUUAAGUCUGAUGUGAAAGCCCACGGCUCAACCGUGGAGGGUCAUUGGAAACUGGGGAACUUGAGUGCAAAAAAGGAGAGUGUAAUUCCGAGUGUAGCGGUGAAAUGCAUAUAGAUUUGAAGGAACACCAGUGGCGAAACUGACACUGACGC